Molecule: long non-coding RNA, 420 nt
Filed under: Homo sapiens (human)
Lineage: Eukaryota; Metazoa; Chordata; Mammalia; Primates; Hominidae
Description: non-protein coding lnc-PPP4R1-2:1
Source: RNAcentral
CUCAACGCGAUUUCCCUUCGCGCUUCUCCGCACCGGGAUCCCCAGUCCCUCAGGUUCCGACAGACCCUCCUGUCAGGCCCAUUCUCCGGGCCCCCUCAGUUGCAGUGUUAAGAUCAACAGUGUUAAGAUUAAAGCCUUGUGAUGUGCUAGCCACUACGCUGAGGAUAUGCCGUGUACUAAAAUUCCUCAGGACUCCUCACAGCUGCCCUGUAAGGAAGCGGCCAUGGCCGGGUUCUAGCGAUGCGAGGCCGAGGCUCGGGGCGCUGAGUAGCCUAGCGCGUCGCCGAGGAGAGCUGGCACGUGAACCCCUUGUCGUUUGCCGUCAGAGGUGUUAUGUGGUGGCCCUCAUUCUCCAUGCAUGGAGCAGACUCUAGGAUCUGCAGUUACUGUAUGAUGAGCCCUUCUGAGUAUUUUGCUUGG